RNAcentral lists this non-coding RNA (660 nucleotides) under Pongo abelii (Sumatran orangutan). Lineage: Eukaryota; Metazoa; Chordata; Mammalia; Primates; Hominidae. The record is from RNAcentral.
GCCAACAGGAGCUGGUAAUCAGGAUGGCAGUGAGGCAGGCACUUGCUUGCGGAAGAACAGGCCUAGUUUUUUAAGAAGCCACGAAAGUGUCUUUAGAUGAUUAGGAUCUAAGGGGCCAACAGCUUUGCAAUAACAGCAUAAAUAUUGUGGGCUGGAUGGACAGGCACCAAAUGGGGACAUUCCAUCCUGCUGUGUGAUGAGAAAGCUGCCACUUCUGAGGCCUUCCAAAACAAAUAAACACUCCAAAUGCCAGAAGGAAAAGCCCAGGAAAGACCUAUUCCAACUGGAGAUGAUUGUUGUGUUCUUGUUUCUAGGAAUAUGAAGGGAGAAUGAAACAAAACUGCUCCGCUCAGGGAACUUAGAAAUUGAAAAGGCAAGGCACAGGCUGGAAGAAAAUAUUUGAAAAAGAUUUAUGUGACAAAGAACUUCUUUCUGGAUUAUACAAAAUAUUUUUAGAUAUUCUUACAACUCUAAAAUAAGAUAACUCCUUAAAAAUGUGAAUUCUACCAAAGGAGAGAUAAAGAUGACAAAUACAGUCAAAGAUGCUGAAAAUCGCUUAUUUAUUAUUGGGAAGUUACAAGCUACAGCAUAAUGAGAUACCACUACAACCUACUAAACUGACUAAAAUUAAUCAGACUAACCAGGUGUUGGCAAGAAACA